UGUCUUCGGACAGUGGAGACCGGCGCACGGGUGCGUAACACGUAUACAACCUACCUUUUACAGGGGGAUAGCUCAGAGAAAUCUGAAUUAAUACCCCAUAAUAUUACACUUUGGCAUCAUUGUGUGAUUAAAGCUCCGGCGGUAAUUGAUGGGUAUGCGUUGCAUUAGCUAGUUGGUAAGGUAACGGCUUACCAAGGCUACGAUGCAUAGGGGGUCUGAGAGGAUGAUCCCCCACACUGGUACUGAGACACGGACCAGACUCCUACGGGAGGCAGCAGUAGGGAAUAUUGGGCAAUGGACGAGAGUCUGACCCAGCCAUGCCGCGUGCAGGAUGACGGUCCUAUGGAUUGUAAACUGCUUUUAUAUGAGAAGAAAGAAGAUGGAUGCGUCCGAGGCUGACGGUAUCAUAUGAAUAAGGAUCGGCUAACUUCGUGCCAGCAGCCGCGGUAAG
Molecule: ribosomal RNA, 451 nt
Filed under: uncultured Bacteroidota bacterium
Lineage: Bacteria; Pseudomonadati; Bacteroidota
Description: bacterial SSU rRNA
Rfam family: Bacterial small subunit ribosomal RNA
Source: RNAcentral